RNAcentral lists this long non-coding RNA (7823 nucleotides) under Homo sapiens (human). RNAcentral's name for it is "HSALNT0177806". Lineage: Eukaryota; Metazoa; Chordata; Mammalia; Primates; Hominidae. The record is from RNAcentral.
CCAGGGGUCUUUUCUAAAUUCCACGUGUAUGUCAGGGUAUGUUAUCUAAGAGUUUCAUUUGAGGAUAAUGAAGGAGAUGUUAUACAACACUUUUUCUAAGAGAACUGGGGUCUCGUGUGGUUGGGAACCAGGGAACAAAGUCAUCUCCCGUAAGUGCCCUGGGAGCGCUGUAUAGAGGGGAACCGCGCAGGGACCGCAUGGUGAGGGUCAGGCUAGGGCACAGUGGAGACUCUCUGAGCUUCUGCCCUUCCGUGGGGGAUGGAGUGGGAAAGGCUCUUCUCUAAGGGUGAGAACUGCCCAGGACCGGGGAGCAAAGAGCUGGGAGAAGCUCAGGUUUGGGGAAGAGUUCAACCCAGAAGACGGAAGGAGUCGAUCUCUGUGUGCACCAUGGGGGAUCCGCAGUGGGACACACUUCCCAGCAGCCACGUGUCCACUGUGUGGGAGUCAGUGCGGCCAGGGACUCCGUGUCCUCCACCCAGUCCCCCUGAACAGUGCUCCAUUUGGCUGAAGAGGGGACAGGCCGCAGGGCGGGCUCCAGUGAGUAAAGGGGCUGCGCAGGAGGCAUGGGGCAAGGGUGUGGACAGAACGUGGUAACGAACAUCAACAAAGACAAGGCACACAGAGAUGCAUGCUGGGCAGGAGCUCCGGCCUCACUGUCACUGCAGCAUCCCAUCAGGACAAAAUCCACAAUUGCCCCGGGAGCACCAUGUACACAGCAUUCGGGGCAGGCCACACAAGACGGCUGAUCCUCCAGCGGACACUCCCUGGGCGUCGGUGCUGGAAAUCGGCCAAAUGUAAAAAUACCCUCCCAACCCAACACGCUGGCCACCUGUGGCCCUUACACAAAGCCGGUCACCUUGGAUCCCAUCCCCGCCAGUCAACUCCGCUUUACAAUUUGGAACAAAACUUCUAGACAGAUACGCACGGGAGAAAGUAGGACCACAGCAACACGCACGUGACCGACCCCUUCAGCUGACAUGAAAAUGACACCAAGCAAGACUCCAGAGUGGCAGACGAACAACAGAGCUGGUUAUGUCCGGAUGAAACCAGCAGCCCGGCAUGCGGAGUCAGCACCACACACACACAGACCGGAAACCACACGCAGACUUGCACAGCUCACUCGGUCCCGCGAAGAGGGACGAGACAAGACGCAGCUGCGGAAGGACAAGAUGUAUGAAAACAAACCUUGUUCGGUUGAGGAAGAACAACCCAUGUCAUUUAAUCCAUCUGACAGUGCAUCUCCCCACAAAGCCGGGCAAAAGCAAAAACAACAAAGACCGUAAAAAAUAGGUUAUCCCAGUCCAAAGCUUAUCAGCUGGCAACAUGCUUAAUGUGUGCACGACUGUUUCAGAUGCGGGCUCCCCGGCACCCGGACAGUCUUGCUAUUUGGGAUCUCCAUCCCACAGAAGCCAUCGUCCAGGCUCUAUGGCAAAGCUUUUAUAACCUGCUGGGCUCAUUUACUUGGCCGGCUAAACACUGGACGACAACAAGCAAGGAUUAACUGUGGUAUUCACGUCCACAUUUAAACCAUCACUUUCUUCGAGUUGGCAAAUAAAAUCACCAAACAGAGGUCCCAUUUAAUUUUUUUUUUUUUUUAAGAGGAAGGGGACAGAAACAGCAUCACAGCAUCAGACAACAGCAACAUACAUGCUGGCCGGAUUGUGAACAGAACGCUUCGCGGCAGGCUGAAACCUCUCUUUUAAAGAGAUACACUUGAAUCCAUUUCUGGGUUCUACAGACCUCAGAGCACCCAUUCAUCACCUCACAGUGUUCAUUGUCUUCUCCCCUAAAGCCACAUUCCAGCAUCGUAAGGGCACUGAUUUCCUGGCACUGAUUGCUUCUGUGUUUGGGAAACAAAGGAUCCCUCCUCAGUAGCAGGGAGGCCACUUGAUCCUUUAAAGAGACUUUUUAAAGGAAAACAUCCCAUUGACCAGGCUGUACACGGCAAGUCAGAAAAAUGUGUGGUAUUUUAAUUUACCCACUUUGAAGCACCAACAUCCACCCCACACCCACCUCUAGCUUGGAAUUUGCUUCCACCAGACCCAUAUUGAGAAGUGUGACCCAACCCCAUAGAGGCAAAGGUGAGUCUCACCUCCACUUCUUGACAGGAGAAAGCUCUGCUUGUGAGCACCAAGGGUUUGCCCUGACGCCAAAGCAUGAGCCAACAGCCUCAGGCUUAAGGGACAGGCCUCGCUUCAUCCAUAUGUCUCCUAAGCUAAGUUGUAUAAGACAAGUCUUGCUGAAGACCAUAAUGCAGAAACGCCAUGAUUCCUGAGGUUGACAGAGAUAGACAAAUGGCAGGUGAAGAAUCUAGAGUCCUCUGGUGAUCAUCUGACACCACCCACCCCCACCCAAGAGGCCAGGAACGGACAAAAGAUUCACCCUGAGGAAGAAGGACUACAGCAGCACCCUGAGGUUAUGGAGGAUAUGGGGUGGAGGAAGCCAAGCCACAGAACCUAGAAUCAGGAAGCCACAUGGCCACCCACGAUCUAAAGCAGAAAUCCAGAAAUCCCUGGCUUGAGGACUCACGACAUCAAACCCAACACAGCCCACUUCCUCCAACUGCCUCCUCUCCUCUGUGCCUCUGAGCUCGGCUGCUCCUGGACUCUGAAAAUGUUCGAGUCAGAUAAAACAUUGCCCUCUCGCAAACACACUCAAUGCAGCAACUGAUUUGCCAAUAUGUGUCCCACCCUUGACACUCAAGACCGGGUACCAGGGAAGGCAGGUUUGAGGUCAAGAACAGAGAGUAGGGCCGAGCGCGGUGGUUCACACCUGUAAUCCCAGGACUUUGGGUGAGGCUGAGGUGGGUGGAUCACCGGAGGUCAGGAGUUUGAGACCAGCCUGACCAACAUGGUGAAACCCCAUCUCUACUAAAAAUACAAAAAUUAGCUGGGUGUGGUGGCAGGUGCCUGUAAUCCCAGCUACUCGGGAGGCUGAGGCAGCAGAAUCGCUUGAACCUGGGAGGUGGAGGUUGAAGUGAACUGAAACCGCUCCACUGUACUCCAGCCUGGGCGACAGAGGGAGACGCCAUCUCAAAAAAAAAGAAAAAAAAAAGAGAGAAAGAGGAUGAGAGAAAGGCUGACUUGGAGUGAACAAGAGCUGGGGGAGGAGCCAUCCAUCCAACAUGCAUUGCCUGAGGCCCCACCACGUGCCUAGCACAGUGGGGACGGUAGAAUCAGAUACCAUCUGUCCUUGAAGAGGUAACAGCCUGAGAAGACAAAAGUCAUGAAGCAAUGUGAGUUCCCUAGAGUGGGUGGAAUGGUGGUCCUCAAAAAGAUGGGCCCAAGUCCUAAUCCGUGGGACCUAAACUGCACCCUCAUUUGGAAACAGGGUCUUUUCAGGUGUGAUGAGUUGAAGGAUCUCAAGAUGAGAUCAUCCUGGAUUUAGGGUAGACUCUAAAUUCAGAGACUGGAGUCCGUAUAAGGGAAAGGAGUAGGACCUCUGAGAUAUACACAGGGGAAGCCAUGUGAAGACAGAGGCGGAGGCUGGGGUGAUGCAUCCACAAGCCCAGGAACUUCAGAGGCAAGGAAGGAUUCCUCCCUUGGGCCUGCAGAGGGAACCAGCCCUGCCAACACCUUGAUUUUGGACUUCUGGCCUUCAAAACAGGGAGACAGUCAAUUCCAGUUGCUUAAAGCCACACAGUUGGUGGUCAUUUGUUGUGGCAGCCCCGGGAACCGGGUACACAGCCCAUCCCUGGGUCCUGAGCAGGCCCACGAAAGAUGUGGAUGAGCAGAAACGCCUGGCAGGUCCUGAGAAGCAAAGGAGGAGCUGGUGCUGGGACGUCCGGCAUGAGAACCACCAGCGGGAUUUGAAACCGCAGUUCCAGAGGAACCCUCGACCACUGAGUCAGACUCUGAUGGUGGCGCUGGGCAUCUGCAUUCCACACAAGUUCCCCAAGGGACUCAGAUGCACCCCAAAUCAUACAGGCCGCUGGGCAGCGGGGGCCUCAGUGGGUAGGAGAGGGUUAGGGCAGGCGAGUCAAGAUGACAGUCAGGACCAGGACCAGGACCAGGAGUGGGGUGGUUCAGAAGCUGUCUUAGGGGCGGAUGCCAGCAACAUAGAAGGCUCCUGGGAAUGGAGGAUGGAGAGAGAGCAGAGGAGGCAGACGCAGCUGGAAGACUGGGGCCAGGACAUGGGGGAGUAGGAGCUGCAACAGCCAGAGAAGCAACGUGUGUGGAAAAGCCUGUUUUCCUGAGCGGGUGUGGUGUGUGCUCCCAUUAAACAGCAACAGAUUAGUAGCUCACUCCACCUAGGAAGGGUGCACAGGAUCCACCAUCCUUCAAACAUCACUUUUAGAUCUGGGGGGUAGAAGGGGACAGAGGGACAUUAUCUUCCAUGGUCAUCCCCUCCCCCAAAGGGCCUGGGACAUGCAAAUAUUUCUGAAUCUCCAAAUUAGCACAGGGUCUGUGAAAAAGGUGCUCAAUGAAGACUUGUCACCAGGCUGGGCGUGGUGGCUCAUGCUUGUAAUGCCAACACUUUGGGAGGCCGAGGCAGGCAGAUCACCUGAGGUCAGGAGUUCAAGACCAGCCUGGCCAAUAUGGUGAAACCCCGUCUCUACUAAGAAUAGAAAAAAUUGGGCCAGGCCCAGUAGCUCAUGCCUGUAAUCCCAGCACUUUGGGAGGCUGAGGCAUGUGGAUGAUGAAGUCAAGAGAUUGAGAUCAAACUGGCGAACAUGGUGAAACCCUGUCUCUACUAAAAAAAAAAACAAAAAAAACAAAAAAAACAAAAAAACAGAGGCCAGGCAUGGUGGCUCAGGCCUGUAAUCCCAGUACUUUGGGAGGCUGAGGCGGGCGGAUCACCUGUGGUUCAGAGUUUGAGACCAGCCUGACCAUCAUGGAGAAACCCCAUCUCUACUAAAAACACAAAACUAGCCGGGUAUGGUAGCGCGUGCCUGUAAUCCUACCUACUCGGGAGGCUGAGGCAGGAGAAUCGCUUGAACCCAGGAGGCAGAGGCUGCAGUGAGCCAAGAUCGCACCACUGCAUUCCAGCCAGGGCAGCAAGAGUGAAACUGUCUCAAAAAAAAAAAAAAAAAUUAGCUGGGCAUGGUGGCAGGCGCCUGUAAUCACAGCUACUCAGGGGGCUGAGGCAGGAGAAUCGCUUGAACCCGGGAGGCGGAGGUUGCAAUGAGCCAAGAUCGUGCCACUGCACUCCAGCCUGGGUGACAGAGUGAUAGACUCCGCCUCAAAAAAAAAAAAAAGAGUUGUCACGGGAAGAUGGUGACCACAUAGGUGUUUGAGCUGGUGAGAGUGCAGGCAUCUUCAGGACCUGCCAUUUCAGGUACCUGACAUGUGCAAGUACAGCCUGGGAGAAAGGAUGCCUCUCCUCUAGCACAGGCAGUCUGCCUUCCUCAGCGUAUGCGGGCUCCUCUCUAGACGGGAAGAGACUGGGGCCAUAUCGUCCUGCUCAGUUGGUGGCAACAACCACCAACGGAGUGGCUGAAAACCACCAGAGGCCGGGCACGGUGGCUCACGCCUGUAAUCCCAGCACUUUGGGAGGCCGAGGCGGGCAGAUCACGAGGUCAGGAGAUCAAGACCACAGCGAAACCCCAUCUCUACUAAAGAUACAAAAAAGUAGCCGGGGGUGGUGGCGGGCGCCCGUAGUCCCAGCUACUCCGGAGGCUGAGGCAAGAGAAUGGCGUGAACCCGGGAGGCGGAGCUUGCAGUGAGCCGAGAUCGCGCCACUGCACUCCAGCCUGGGUGACAGAGCAAGACUCUGUCUUAAAAAACAAAAACAAAAACAAAAAAACACCAGAAUUUACUAUCUCAUAGUUCUGAAGGCCAGAAGUCCAAAAUCGAUGUGUUGGCAGGGCUGGUUCCUUCUGCUGGUGCUCUGGGUGGACAGCCUCCAAGGUCUCAUAGUUGGAAUUCUUUCAUUCUGUGAUCCCACAGAGGUGACUAUGCAGCACCAAAAGCGUGUCCUCCUCCCUCCCUCUCUCGGUCUCCAUCCCCCAGGGUAGAGGGCCAGGCUGCACCUCCCCUCUGAAGGUCUCCUGGGUGACCAUGAUGGACCCUCACCCUGACACUGCUAAGAGCAUUCUGGGAAGGAGCAUCCCAGUGACAAUUGAAAAUUUCAUGGUGGGUGAGAAAUGCCACAGAAGACAUUCCUCUUUGAAAUGUUAAUGUGGAAGGUGGAGGAAUCUAGGCUUUGCAGAGAAAACAACAGAUUCUGUGGGUGAGAAGUUACUCUGAGCCCCGGCUGAGGACAGGGGUGGCCAGGACCAGUUCUGACUAAAACAUGAUGUCUCUCGAAAGCUCAGAAGAUGAGCACCUCAAGCCACCCUCGUGAGAGACCACUGUGAGCUACAAAGGCUUCCCUCGGGGGCUGCCAGGCAGCACCGUCACACCGUCAUGAGGCUGGCACCUUAGUCCAUCAGUCCAUCCAUUCUCAGACAACUCUCUCCAGCCGCCAGGCUCCACCCCAUGCGGUCUUAAGCAUCAUCUUCCUCCAGCCCUACCCUGCCUUCUAAGCACAGCUGGGGAGCUGGCUAGGAGCUGACAAAUGCUUAGCUCUAGUAAUCCUAGAGCGAGGGAGCCUGGAUGAGGAAGCAGAGAGGAGAUACCCCUCUAACUAUGGUGGGGGGGACUGCCCUGUUGGUGAUCUGUGGCCCAGGAAGCCUCCUCUUCCCUCUGGCCACCUUCCCAGCUCUGGUUCUAGGUCCAGCCUCUAUGAAGCCUCCCCAGCCUGCCCCAUCCCAGUCCACACUGAUGCCUGCAGCUCUUGUAUGGUGGAAGGUUUUUCUCAGCUUCAACAAGGAGGCAGCAGCAUGUGGUGGUUGAAAGGACAGGUUCUCAAGGUAAGUACUUCAGCAUCAGAUGGACAUGGGGUUGAAAUCUGGUUUGCCCAAUUCCUCCAGCAUGUGGCUCUGGAAAAGUCCUGAAUUUAAGAUGUCAUCGGUGCCCUGCCUGCAUCUCCUUGGCACUCACUGUUCCCAGGUAUGUGCACUGCUUACCCCCACAGGCCCCUGCAAUUCCCCAAAUCCCUGAUGGGGGUCUUGGUACCCAGAGGGAGCACGCAUAGGAGCUGGAACUGGUGGGUAAAUACAUGAACUGCUUCAUAAUGACCAGGCACACCCUCUGCAGGUUCCCAGAGGACCCCAGGGGCCUGAGCCUCCGGGGCCCACAGAGUCAACUGCUCAUGAACACAUGUGUACAGCUGGUGCCCUGCCCUUCCCUGACUUCCUUCCCUAAGUCCCUGCUGGUGCUUCCUGUAUCUCCUCCACAAUAAACAACUUGUCCUCAAAUCCUCACCUCAAGGUCAGCUUCUAGGGGAGCCCCACCCCAAAUGCCAUGUCGCCUAGGCUCUUCUACACAUGGAGACCACAACUGCAUCUGGACGUGGAGGUUUGCAUGGCUGUGAUGCUGUACGUGAAGUGCUGGCCUGUAGUACUUGGUAAGUGCUAACUGUUUUCACUGUGGUUACUCAUUCAUUCACCCAGAAGUUGGGCAGCUUUCUUAAACAAUGGGCAAAGACCCGCAUGCAGGAGUUAGCAAGACACAUGCAGGCAAAAAACGCACAAGCUAGUGGGGAAGAGAGUAUGAGACCCUCCCCACCACAUACCCAGCACCUGGCCCCUGCCAGAGGGGCGAUGCAAAGUGGGGGUGACCACAGGGGAGGGGGAGAAGCAAUUGGGUUCCAACCUACAGGUUUAGUUAAGAAGGCAUUAGUUCAGGAUUUCACAACAGAUUCACUGUGCUUGGAUCAAUCAACACAUUGAGAGAUGUCAGGUUCCUAGAGGACUCAGCCUCCACACCCUUCAUCUCUCUCUGCGGGAAACUUUCAACACAAUUGAUCUAAAUGGCACAGUUUUUGUUGAUGCCAGUUUG